UUAGUCAAAGAAUUUCGUGUCAAGUGGUGGGACAAAUAUAACAUCGAAAGAUGUUCCCUGACUAAUAUCAAGAAAUUAUUUGACGCAAAUAAACAAGACCACCUUUUAAUCAAAUCCGUCUCCCGCUCUAUUCCACUCUUAACCCCAUCACAAAUAGCCAACAUUCCUCCUUAUCAUCCACCAACCCAAAUCAAACAAGAACCACCAAGCCCAGCUAAAAACAAAAAACCAUCAAGCCCUACCCAUUCAUCCUCCUCAUCCCAAAAAUCCAAAUCAAAAAAAUCCAAACUUCAAGCUAUGAAGGAAACCCUCAAGGCACUUAGUCAAGAAAUGAUGAAUAUAUCGUCCGACGACGAUAGUGUUCACGGUCAAGAACCCGCCGAAAAUCCUGAAGAUCUAUUUGGCGGACCAUUAAGUCAAGACCCUUUUGUUUUGUAAAAAAAAAAAAAAAAAAAAAAAAAAAAAUUCAUCUCAGAUUUUACGACUCACUGGCAAGGUAGAUGUUCCUGGCUGCAAGUCCUGAGCGUAGGCCGUAAGACCGAUGGUAAAUCUCCUUUGUGCGUCUCCAAAAAAAAAAAAAAAAAAAAAAAAAAAACCCAAUAGUAUUGUAUAGUUUUAAAUUUACCUUUAAUAAUGUAUAUUCUGGUAGACUCUGUAUAUUAUUUUAAGCUUUAUGUGUAUUCCGGCUAUAUGCUACACCAGUUAACAUCAAAAUAAAAUACAGAGUAUAUCUCUGUAAAAUCGAAGAAUAAAUCAAGACACAGGAAAUAUGACGCAAGCAUGACGUAAGCAAAGAUGUAAGCAAUAACGCAAGCAAGACGUAAGCAAGGACGUAAGCAAUGACGCAAGCAAUGACGUAAUCAAAACUGUCGGCACCGUUAGAUGAACGACACAUGUCACAAGUGUGUCGGCACCAUCUGAUGAGCUCCACGUAUCAAGACUCUAUACACAAUCUUCUCCUAUAAAUAUGCCCUCAAAACAAAGGAGAAGGAGACGAGCAAAAAAUUCAGAUUUUCUCUCUCUCGAAAAAGCUCUCCCUUCUCUCUAAAAAUUGUAAAAGCUUUUUUAGUUUUAAGUUUUAAAUUUAUCUUUGUAAUUUAAUCUCUAAUCUUUGUAUUUCGAUUUCAAAAAAUAAAAAUUUACUAUUCAAAGGUUACUGUUCACAAAGUAAUUAACGCAAAUUAGUAUUUGUAAAACGUUUUAUAAAUUUUAAAUUAGGUAUUAAACUGGUAUCAGUUGUCAAAACGAUCUUUAACAAAACCAUUGCAGAUUUUGCAAAGUUUUCUUAAGUUAAAAAAUUAUUUUAUCUAUUUAAUAAUAAAAGAAAAUCUAAAUUUUGCAUACAUAAUAUAACUCAAUUUUUUAUAUUUAAGCAAAAUAAUGGUGUUCCAGGCAGCAAGACCUAAGAGAGGCAGUGAGUCCGUUGGCAAGCCAGCAGCAGUGAUCAACUAGAAUCGGUAAGUCUCUUCUCAUGAGUCUAAAUUUUGUAUAAAUCAUGGCAUCCUCGUUUAGAAAGUUUUUUAAGUCGAAAUAUGCAUCUGCAUCUUCGUCACAUACAACAAUUAAUUCAAGAGAAAUAAUGUCAAAAAUAACAUCCUUUAAUCAAGAAAUAACAAAUGAUAAAUUACCACAUAUCAAUCCAGACAACAUAUAUCAAAUUGGAACAUUUGAUUUUAAAACGGCAUAUUCAAUAAAAGAACAUGAGCAAACCUUGUCUCUUCAAAAUGAAUUUAAAGAGAUAAAAUUAUUAUCAUCACUCGCCUUAGACAAAUAUAAACAAAAAGGAUUUAAUUAUAUUCAUUUUGGACUUAUACAAAUUGCUAUCAAACCAUUAUCAAGAACGGGUAUAGAUUCACCUAUACUCAUGUUACUACGAGACAAAACCUUAUUAAAAUAUGAAGACUCCUUAUUAGGAGCUGUACAAUCAAACUUAUGUAACGGAGCAGUGUACUUUAAUUGUGCCCCAAAUUAUCAAGUUAGCCUACACGAUCCAACUAUAUUGAACACUUUAGUAUUAAAUGUUCAUUUACCAGAAAUGAAAUUUCAAAACGAAAGACAUGGUUAUUUAUUACUUUAUCGAAUUUACUUUAAACAAUCAACUUCUGAAUUUAAUCCAAGAUGCUUAUUACAAGAUGAUAAAGGAGAAACGACAAUAUUAGCAGUUCAUAGUAAAGAUGCUCCUACUGCUACUUACACACCUAAGCAAUUAAAAUGGAAUGAAAUAACUAUUCCAGACCAAUGGAAAAUAGAAAUUACACAACCCCCUAGAAAUUUUGAACAAAGAAAUAUUUCAAGAAUAUUCGAACAAAGAGAUGGUAAAAUAUUAUUACAAUUCGGAUCAUUUAGAGAACCACUUCCCCCAAGAAUUAACUCUUAUUAUUCAAAUUCAAGAGCCUCAUUUUCCGAAUAUCGUAAUAAUCAAACUAGUACAGAUUCUGAUACAGAAAGUGUAAAUCAAAAUACUCAACAAGAUAAUCAAAUUAAAUUUAAUGCUCCAAUAGCUGAACCUACUCAAUUAAGAUGUCCAACAUCACCUACUCCAUCAGAUUUUAAAUCUAUUAAUGUAAUAUUAAAAGAAUAUACAAUUAAUAAACAAUAUAUUAGAAAAGAUUUCUAUUCAAAAGAAAAUGAAGAAAAAAGAAAUUGGUAUUUCAAGAGAUUUUCUAAACAACAAACAAUUGAAUUAAGACAAGAUUGGUAUAACUUUAUGACAAUAAAAGAGAUAGAUAUUCCAUUUUUCACUUGGUUUGAAACAUAUGCAAUCUCUCAUAAUAUUAAUUAUCCAUUUAAAUCAAUAAAUACUAGUGCAUCUUUAAGUCAAAUAUGGGAAUUAUCGGAUGGUAAUAAAAUUAGGUCAGUCCAUCCACCCUUAAAAGAUUUAAAAAUAACUACACCUGAUAGAAUACUCGUAGCCUCACCCUUUAAAACAGGAGCUAAUCAAGAUGAUAAGAAUAUAAUAACACAACAAGAUAUUAAAGCAGUAUAUGAACAAAAUAAUUAUCAAAGUCAGUUACUCCAUACAAUAUCCAAACAAGUAAAUCACAUAGAUAAUAAAAUAAAUGAAAGUGAUAAAUUAUCUCUAGAUAAUCAAACUACCCAACAUCCCUUUUCAUCUGUAUCAACCCCAAUAUUUAAACCAAUUACAAGGCAAGUUAAAUUCGGUGAAAAUGAAAUUUUAAAAUCUAUAGCCAAUAGAUUAGACAAAUUAGACAAAGGUAAAAGUAUCAAUAAUAUAGAUGAAAACGAUAAUGAAUCUAUUCAAACAUCUAUAUCGUCAGAAAGUGAUAUACAAGAAAUAAAUAGAAUAAAAAAUAGAACUAUGAGAUCUAAUAAACCUUAUUAUUCAAGGCAUACCCCACCAGACUUAUUAUUUGAAGAACAUCAUAAAUAUUCUAACAAUAUGUAUUCAGGAAAUGGUAUUUUUUGAAUGGAACAUAGAUGGUAAAUCCGAAUACGAAAUAAUGAAUGUAUUACAAGAAAUGGGUAUGGCAACAGCAGCAUUUAAAACAGACAAAACAAUAACUGAUAAAGAAGCAUGUGUACUAUUAGUAGCAGGAUUUUCUAGAUCAUUAAAAUAUUGGUGGGAUAACGCAUUAGAUACUAAUCAACAAAACUCUAUAAUCAAUCAUGUAGAGAAAAUUUAUACAGAAGAUGAAGAUGGUUUCAUUAUUGAAACCGAAAAGUCCAAUGCAAUAGAAGUAUUAGUACACACUAUAUUAAUGCACUUUGUAGGCAAUCCAACCGAAGAAUUAGAAAGUAAAAGAAUAAUCCUAACAAAUUUACGAUGUCCUACACUAGGAGAUUUUAAAUGGUAUAAAGAUGUUUUUAUAACCAAUAUAUUUUUAAGACCAGAUUGUAAUCAACCUUUCUGGAAAGAAAGAUUCAUUUCAGGAUUACCGAAUUUCUUUGCAGAAAAAGUAAUCAAUAAACUUAAAGAAAUCUCUGGAGGACAACCGGUCCCCUGGAAUAAUAUAACUUAUGGGCAAUUAUUUGCAUUCGUUAAGAAAAUAGGAUUAUCAAGAUGUCAAGAACAAAAAGAUAAAAAACGUAACGAUAAAUUCAAAUUUAAAGUAACUAUGGGUUCAUUCUGUGAACAAUAUGGUUACGAAACCUUUAAUCCACCAUCCAGAGUUAAGCGUAUAAAGCAUAGGCAUAGAAGGUCUAAUCAAAUAGAAUAUCAUAAUAAAAGAAGAAAUUUUAACAAUAAAUCUAAUAACCAAAAAUAUUCAAAAAAUCAACAUUACUCUAAAAAUAAACGAUAUAAUACAACCAAUAAGCAAAAAAUAGUAUGUUGGAAUUGUAAGCGACCUGGACAUAGAUCCACGGAAUGCAAAAUGAAAAAGAAAAUUAAUGAAAUAUUCCAAAAUCAACCUGAUAUUCAAGAAAAAUUAUCUAAAUUAUUGUUAUCAGAAUCUGAGUCAUCUGAAGACUCAGAUAAUGAAUACUCAAUAAACGAAAUAGGAAAUUCAAGUGAUUCAUCCAGUGAAUCACAAGAGUUAUCCGAUAAUUUAUGCAAUUGUAAAAAUAUCAAUGUUAUAACCAAAGAAGAUGAUAAACAAUUUUUACUAGAAAUAAUAGAUAAAAUUGAUGACCCAAAUACUAAACGAGAAUAUUUAAUAAAAUUAAAAGAUAUGAUAAACCGAGAAAAUACUAGAGAAUCUCCGCAACCUUUUAGUUUACACAAAAUAUUCGAAAAAUAUCCAACUCAGAGUUUGUUUAAACAAGUAUCUACGGGAGAAUUACAAAAUGAAAUUAAACAAAUAAAGUCACAAAUUAAACGUUUACAAGAUAUUGUAAAUGAUCAAGACAUUAAGCAAUUACAAAUAAAUACAAGAUUAUCUCUGAUAGAAUCAAAGAAUAACAAUAAUACUCAAGCAUCCUCAAAUAGACAAAACUUAGAAAUUAAUGAAGAACAAGAUUCCGAAGAUUAUAUUCAAAUAAUCAAUAAAAUCAAUUAUCAAAAAUGGUAUACAAAUAUUACUUUACAUAUAGGAAAUGACUUUAAAUUAAACAUAAUAGCCUUAAUGGAUACUGGUGCAGAUUAUAACUGUAUCCGUGAAGGAGUUAUCCCAACAAAAUACUAUGAAAAAACUACUGAAAGAUUAAGCGGUGCUAAUGGUAGUAAUUUAAAAGUUCAAUAUAAACUACCAUGCGCAAAAAUAUGUAAUCAAGGUUAUUGUUUUAAAAAUCAAUUCAUUUUAGUCAAAAAUUUAUCACAAGAAGUAAUAUUAGGAACUCCAUUUUUUACUCAAAUAUAUCCCUUUAAAGUAACAGAACAAGGAAUAUCAACCAAGGUAGUAGGAACAAAAUUAUUAUUCAAUUUCCUAUCGCCUAUGAAGACUAAAGAAAUUCUUAAUCUUCAACAAAACACAAUAAAUAAAACGAUCAAUUUAAUAAAAAGUAAGCAAACCCAUAUCCAACAUUUACAGGAAGAAAUAACCUAUAAAAAAAUAGAAGAACAACUUAAUACUCAAUAUGUAAAAGAUAAAAUAAAAACUAUAGAAAACAAUUUGCUAAAUCAAAUUUGUUCCGAAUUACCAAAUGCAUUUUGGGAAAGGAAACAGCAUAAUGUUGAACUUCCCUAUAUACAAGACUUCAACGAGAAAAAUAUACCAACUAAAGCACGACCUAUUCAAAUGAAUAAAGAAUUAUUAGAAACCUGUAAACAAGAAAUAAACGAUCUAUUAAAAAAGAAAUUAAUCAGGCCAUCCAAAUCCCCUUGGAGUUGUUCGGCCUUUUAUGUUAAUAAUCAAGCUGAGAAAGAACGUGGAGUACCACGAUUAGUUAUUAAUUAUAAACCAUUAAACAAUGUAUUACAAUGGAUUAGAUAUCCCAUACCAAAUAAAAGAGAUUUACUCAAACGAUUAUAUAAUGCAAAGGUAUAUUCAAAAUUUGAUAUGAAAAGUGGAUUUUGGCAAAUCCAAGUAGCAGAAAAGGAUAAAUAUAAAACUGCAUUUACAGUACCAUUCGGACAUUACGAAUGGAAUGUAAUGCCAUUCGGCCUUAAAAACGCACCAUCUGAAUUUCAACAUAUAAUGAAUGAUAUAUUCAAUCAAUACUCAAAAUUCACUAUCGUCUAUAUUGAUGAUGUACUCGUCUACUCAACAUCUAUAGACCAACACUUUAGUCAUUUAAACACAUUCUUAAAUAUAAUUAAAAAACAUGGCUUGGUAGUAUCAGCCAAAAAGAUGUCAUUAUUCCAAACUAAAAUAAGGUUUUUAGGUCAUAAUAUAUAUCAAGGAACUAUCAUCCCUAUUUCAAGAUCGAUAGAAUUCGCAGCUAAAUUUCCAGAUGAAUUAAAAGAAAAAACUCAAUUACAAAGGUUUUUAGGGUGUCUGAACUAUGUUUCAGACUUUCUUCCUAAUCUUAGAAAAACUAUUCAACCGUUAUACCAACGAUUACAAAAAAAUCCAAAACCAUGGACUAGUCAACACACUAAAUUAGUUCAACAAAUUAAACAGAAGGUUAAAACUCUUCCGUGCCUUACUAUACCAAAUCCUGAAGCAUCUAUGAUUGUUGAAACGGAUGCAUCAGAAAUUGGCUAUGGUGGCAUUUUAAAGCAAAAAAUUUCAGAAAAUACUCAAGAAACAAUAGUAAGAUUCCACUCUGGUGUCUGGAUAGGACCGCAGAGAAAUUACUCCACAGUUAAAAAGGAAGUUCUUUCAAUUGUUAAUUGUAUAUCCAAAUUCCAAGAUGAUUUAAUCAAUAAGAAAUUCUUAUUACGAGUUGACUGUAAGUCAGCUAAAGAAAUAUUAAAAAAAGAUGUAAAAAACUUAGUAUCAAAACAAAUAUUUGCCAGAUGGCAAGCUAUCUUAUCUGUAUUCGAUUUUGAUAUUCAACAUAUUAAAGGAGAAAAUAAUUCUUUACCGGAUUUUCUAACAAGAGAAUAUUUACAGGGUAAAACAACAGAUAUUCAAGAUAAACAAAAUGACGGAUAAAAAGCAGAAGAAACCGAUGAGCGCAUCGGAUUAUAUCAAGCAUAUGCCACACCUCCAGGGCAAGCCCCUGACUACUCAAAACCAGUAUUCAGCUUUAGCAGAAUUUCCACCUCUAUCUUAUUCAAAGGCCGUAAUCUCACAGUCAGGCCAAUCCUCAAACACUAAUCAACCACCUUUUCAAAAAGCCAGUUAUCAUCUCAAAUCCUACAACCAACACUUAAACACAACCCACUAUACCAAAUAAAUCACCCUUAAAGAACUAUAUUCUUACACCAACCACCUCUUUUACGGUGAUGCCCUGAAUCCAACAGAUAACGUAACCAAAAACCGUACCUUUUAUGAGUAUAUUCUGGUAGACUCUAAAUCUAUCGAAGUUACUCAUUACCCAGAUCCAAAAAACCCUAACCAUAUCUCCUAUUCAACCUGUAAAAUACUCCGCGUUGCAUCUAUGCAACAGCUUGGUAUUCUCAACCUCCAUACCUCAAAAAACUUUUCUCAGCCUGGAUUUGUUCUCCCCGGCUAUACCUACGUUGACUAUAUGCAAGCCUUUUUUCGUGUUCUCUACCUACGACCCUAUGACCAUUCCUGGUUCUUAUCCUUUGACCAGCGGUUCAAUAAACACGUACCAGGUUGGUUCAACGAAUGGUGGCACUGGUUUGGACCCAUUGACCAAAUCUAUCCACCAGAAAUAAUCAAGACUUCUUAUCCAUUCUACACCAAACACCUACCCAACACCAAUCCCAUUGGACCUCUAAACAAAAUUUACUUCCAUACAGACAUGGGAAUUCCAUGGAUCUGUUCUUGGCAUUUCAACCUUGUCCUAGCCCUACCUAAUAUGCCAUACUCCUUAGUCAAAGAAUUUCGUGUCAAGUGGUGGGACAAAUAUAACAUCGAAAGAUGUUCUCUGACUAAUAUCAAGAAAUUAUUUGACGCAAAUAAACAAGACCACCUUUUAAUCAAAUCCGUCUCCCGCUCUAUUCCACUCUUAACCCCAUCACAAAUAGCCAACAUUCCUCCUUAUCAUCCACCAACCCAAAUCAAACAAGAACCACCAAGCCCAGCUAAAAACAAAAAACCAUCAAGCCCUACCCAUUCAUCCUCCUCAUCCCAAAAAUCCAAAUCAAAAAAAUCCAAACUUCAAGCUAUGAAGGAAACCCUCAAGGCACUUAGUCAAGAAAUGAUGAAUAUAUCGUCCGACGACGAUAGUGUUCACGGUCAAGAACCCGCCGAAAAUCCUGAAGAUCUAUUUGGCGGACCAUUAAGUCAAGACCCUUUUGAUUUGUAAAAAAAAAAAAAAAAAAAAAAAAAAAAAUUCAUCUCAGAUUUUACGACUCACUGGCAAGGUAGAUGUUCCUGGCUGCAAGUCCUGAGCGUAGGCCGUAAGACCGAUGGUAAAUCUCCUUUGUGCGUCUCCAAAAAAAAAAAAAAAAAAAAAAAAAAAACCCAAUAGUAUUGUAUAGUUUUAAAUUUACCUUUAAUAAUGUAUAUUCUGGUAGACUCUAUAUAUUAUUUUAAGCUUUAUGUGUAUUCCGGCUAUAUGCUACACCAGUUAACAUCAAAAUAAAAUACAGAGUAUAUCUCUGUAAAAUCGAAGAAUAAAUCAAGACACAGGAAAUAUGACGCAAGCAUGACGUAAGCAAAGAUGUAAGCAAUAACGCAAGCAAGACGUAAGCAAGGACGUAAGCAAUGACGCAAGCAAUGACGUAAUCAAAACUGUCGGCACCGUUAGAUGAACGACACAUGUCACAAGAGUGUCGGCACCAUCUGAUGAGCUCCACGUAUCAAGACUCUAUACACAAUCUUCUCCUAUAAAUAUGCCCUCAAAACAAAGGAGAAGGACGAGCAAAAAAUUCAGAUUUUCUCUCUCUCGAAAAAGCUCUCCCUUCUCUCUAAAAAUUGUAA
Molecule: long non-coding RNA, 8840 nt
Filed under: Eutrema salsugineum
Lineage: Eukaryota; Viridiplantae; Streptophyta; Magnoliopsida; Brassicales; Brassicaceae
Description: long non-coding RNA (ESAL_LNC000523)
Source: RNAcentral